UUAACAAAGUGGAAUAAGCAGGGGUCUAAACUCAAAGGCAGGUUUAAUCCCUGGAAAGUCAAGUUUGACAAAAAGUAGUAUCAUGGGAAGCCCCAUGAUA
Molecule: long non-coding RNA, 100 nt
Organism: Lontra canadensis (Northern American river otter)
Lineage: Eukaryota; Metazoa; Chordata; Mammalia; Carnivora; Mustelidae
Exons: 3
Source: RefSeq, a predicted model, not a curated record